Molecule: non-coding RNA, 1501 nt
Organism: Elaeis guineensis (African oil palm)
Lineage: Eukaryota; Viridiplantae; Streptophyta; Magnoliopsida; Arecales; Arecaceae
Source: RefSeq, a predicted model, not a curated record
AUGGCGUGUCGUUCGCUUUUUAUGAUCAUUAUCUGGGCAACCGUCAAAAACGCGGUAAGCUUCGUUAAAAAAGAAAAAAAAAGGCUCGGGGAGGCGGCGGCGUGGAGCGCGUGAUGGUUUUGUUGGGAGGCCAAUGGAUCGUCCCUCUGCAAAUGCUCCUAGAUCGAGUUUUUUGACGAUCGGGGAGAGGCUAUGCGCGGCGUUCAUCCCGUUCAUAGCCAUCGUGGAGGCGAUCAUCUACGUCGUCACGGAUUGCUUCGACCACCGCCCGCCCGCCCUUGUCCACCGCUCUGGCAAGAAGACCUGCAGUGACGUCGCCCGCCUCGCCGAUGACUCCCGUUGCUUUACGGUGAAUGAGGUGGAAGCGUUGUACGAGCUGUACAAGAAGUUGAGCAGCUCCAUCAUUGACGACGGACUCAUCCACAAGGAAGAACUUCAGCUAGCACUUUUCAAGAGUUCAUCUGGCGAAAAUCUUUUUCUUGAUAGAGUUUUUGAUCUUUUUGAUGAAAAGAAAAAUGGUGUUAUUGAGUUUGAGGAGUUUAUACAUGCACUCAGUGUCUUCCAUCCAAAUGCUGCUCUGGAUGACAAAAUUGACUUUGCUUUCAGGUUGUAUGAUUUGAGACAAACUGGGUACAUUGAGCGUGAAGAAGUUAAGCAAAUGGUGAUUGCUAUCAUGAUGGAGUCAGAUAUGAAAUUGUCUGACGACCUUCUUGAAGCCAUAAUAGAUAAGACUUUUGCAGAUGCUGAUGCUGACAGUGAUGGUAAAAUUAACAAAGAGGAAUGGAAGGACUUUGUCCUGCAACACCCUUCUCUUUUGAAGAAUAUGACUCUUCCUUAUCUGAAGUAUGAAUUUGACGUCAUAUGCUGCUUAGAUCUGUAUACCUUAUAACCUUUUUUCUCUAUAUUUUAUAACCUUUUUUCGACUUCAUAUGCUCAUUAGACUGGUCACAAGAUUGGAUCUGCAUGUGAACAUUCAUAACAAGGGACAUCACUACGGUGUUCCCUAGUUUUGUCUUCAACACUGAGGUUGAAGAUUAAAUCAAGGUGGCACAAAUCUUGUGUGCAACGAAGAGUAUGACCAUCAUGGAAUGCAUUGGGCACUUUUGCGGUGGGGCUUUCACCCUCGAUAAGCUGUUGAUAAAAAUCAAAGCACUUCCCUUCGGGAAGAUAUUGAUUGAGAUCAGAGCAAUGCACUGCCUAUCUAUUCAAACCUGCAAGCUGCAUGCGAGACGAGGUUGUUUGCACCCUUCAAAUUUCUGGUCGUGCACUGCCAUUCUUGCAUAAUUGGUCCUCUGUAAUGUACAAAAUUCUAUAAUUAUUUACUGUAAUUUACAGUAAAAUGCCUCUUCAGUUAUCAUCUGUACAUUGUUUUGUUGCCUAUUUUGUUUAGCAAGGAGCUGAGAAGUUUAGGUAGCAUUCGUGAUGAGAUAGGUGGAAUGUGUAUCUGCAGAUUGUGCUAAAAGUGCUUUUACAGUUUUUGAGUUCCUCCAACCACAAUCCC